This 30-nucleotide non-coding RNA is filed under the name Mus musculus (house mouse). The record is from RNAcentral. Lineage: Eukaryota; Metazoa; Chordata; Mammalia; Rodentia; Muridae.
UAGAAUCAAACAGCAAGAGAACCUUAGGUC